GAUGAACGCUGGCGGCGUGCCUAAUACAUGCAAGUCGAGCGAACAGACGAGGAGCUUGCUCCUCUGACGUUAGCGGCGGACGGGUGAGUAACACGGGGAUAACCUACCUAUAAUACUGGGAUAACUUCGGGAAACCGGAGCUAAUACCGGAUAAUAUAUUGAACCGCAUGGUUCAAUAGUGAAAUACGGUUUUGCUGUCACUUAUAGAUGGAUCCGCGCCGCAUUAGCUAGUUGGUAAGGUAACGGCUUACCAAGGCGACGAUGCGUAGCCGACCUGAGAGGGUGAUCGGCCACACUGGAACUGAGACACGGUCCAGACUCCUACGGGAGGCAGCAGUAGGGAAUCUUCCGCAAUGGGCGAAAGCCUGACGGAGCAACGCCGCGUGAGUGAUGAAGGUCUUCGGAUCGUAAAACUCUGUUAUUAGGGAAGAACAAAUGUGUAAGUAAAUAUGCACGUCUUGACGGUACCUAAUCAGAAAGCCACGGCUAACUACGUG
Molecule: ribosomal RNA, 497 nt
Filed under: uncultured bacterium
Lineage: Bacteria
Description: partial 16S ribosomal RNA
Rfam family: Bacterial small subunit ribosomal RNA
Source: RNAcentral